Molecule: long non-coding RNA, 6117 nt
Filed under: Gallus gallus (chicken)
Lineage: Eukaryota; Metazoa; Chordata; Aves; Galliformes; Phasianidae
Source: RNAcentral
AAAAACACAACUGAUUCCACAAGAAAUUUCCUGAUUACUGAGUAUACUUUCCUCGCUAUGCAAAAUCAUGCACCACCCAGUUAUCACUGGUAGAUACUCAACAUACCCACUACUCUGCCACUGAAGCAUUUUUAUACUGACUGCACUGUAACAUUUAACUUAUAAUUGUGCAUUUCUGUCAGUUUUUAAAACUGUUUUUUUCUCAAAUUUGCACAGAUGUCAAGUCCACCCAAGGAGCACAGGACAGCAGCUAUUACCAUACUACCAAAGCUCUGAACCCAUGGAUGUAGAAUUAAAAUUCCAUGCUUGACAGUUCCUGUCUCCACCAACCCCAGAAGGGCCGAGACAUUUCCUCUCAAGACAACAGCUACUCCAUGUGCAAAAGGAACCAAACCUUUUUAUCUAUCAGAAAGAAGAAGGAAGAGCUGCUGACCUUUACUUGAAAAUAUGAAUCCCAGUCUACCUUUAUCUGCAGGAAACCAAAGGUUUAUGACAAACAGGACUUCUGACAGAGUCGCCAGCUGUCACAGUAAGACUACCAGGUUACAGUAGAACUGGGGUAAGCAGACAUUGAUCACUCAGGCUAAGCAUCAGACUGACUCUACUACUUGGUUAAAGAAUUACAUGAGACUUCUCAAAUUUCAAUAUUCAAUCCACAUCAGGAGCACAUCUGACUCUGCUAGAAGGACAGUGACUUUUGAGAAGAUGAAAUGGCUUUUUCUUGACUGCUGUUUUGCAGAAGAAAAGCUUUGCUACCUUUAUCAUCAAACAAAGUCAGUGCCAGGAAAUAAACCACAGUCCUACUGAAGUGAACAUCCACCAUGAAAAAAAACCCAAGGUAAAGACUACAUGUAUAGAUUUUUGCAGUCUUCGGUGAGGGUGGAGAGGAACGAGAGAAAACAAAAACUGUAAGUAAUAGAAGGUUGAGGAUGAGAAAAGCUGCUUCUCACAGCAAAGCCAAACUAAUGUGCCACAUAACCAAGAGUUUAGACCAGCUACAAGUCACAAACUGGAAGCAAAAGGAUGAGAGAUGCUUUCAGAGUUACUAUGUAGCGUCAGUAGUCUCUACUACUGAUAGUUGGCAUCCACACAUCAAUUUCCAACAUUUUUUAAUUUGCUGUUUGUCAUAUAGUUUCCUUUGUGAAAUUCUACUACAAAACAGAGAUUAAAAGCCUCCUAACAACUAUCUAACAGCAACUAGUUGACAUUAAGAUUGGAUACUGAGAGAUGUAUUUACCAAUGUAUAGUAGAAGGCAAGACCACGUAAACAUGGCUUAAAUCUAUAUGAUUUAUCCCAAACUUCUUUGCCAGGAGGAGACAGGCAUUUGAUCAAGCUACCAGAUAGUGGCUGAUUUAGCUUCAGAAAAACUAGAAAAGGUACUGAAAUAAAGACAAAAGCAGUAAGGAUUCUCAUUCUCUGUAUGCGCAAACCAACUGCAAGCUUCAUCACCAUUACAGGAAUUACCUAUUCUUAUUCAGAUUUAAAUUUCAUCUUUAGAAAAACUUCUAAGAAAAAUAAAAAAGUUUUAUUAUUUGAAGUCAUUUCAAGUGAUAUCUAAAAUAUCAUUCUUCCUUUGUUAAUAUCAGAAGUUUCACGCUGGGCAGAAAUCAAUAUGAAGAAAGUGAAUCAGUUCAGCCUGACUUCCUGUAAAUUGAUUUCAGUACACUGAAACAAGUACAUUUUAAAUUUUGAAGCACAAGAUGGUUCCUGUAAAUGAACAAGAGUAUAGUUCCAUUUCAUAACCUACCAUCCUCUCUUUACACAGAAAGGGCAUGUGAUUUGAUCUACGUAGGUAUAAGGCAUGCGUUCUGCUGCAGGAACAAAAACUUUCCAGAAGUUAUACUCUGAAUUCCUGUCAGCUGUAUGACGACUUUAGUGAGCAAUGAAAAUCAUUACCAGACCUUCUAUGAAGCUGUCUUUUCCCACCUCCUCCAGCUGUCCAUUCUGACAAACUUUUUCCUUAAUUUUGAUAAACACAACAAAAGGCUACCUGUGGGUUUGUAUGCUGUUGGGUUGGGGUCUUCCUUUUAACUGCUUUUAAUCAUGCCUUUUGUAGUGAAGCUACCUGGCUGGCAUCCUUUCAUAUAAAUAAGACUUACUACACAAUUCACUCACAUACUUAGAAAAAAAGAAUAUGUGAUGCUUAACUGAAUUACUGGUUCAGAAUUUAAACUCAGCCUGGCACCUAAAUGACAACAAUGAACAUUUUUAAAUGUUGGGCAAUUUUCUUAUUAACAAAUAAUUUCAAAGGCUUCUAAGGUACUAGUACUGCAUGUAGUUUGCUCUGAAAGUAAUGCCUCUUCCUGUUUACUUCCAUGGAAAAUACAACAGAUGCAAAGAGCACAAUACCACUAUUAGAUAGUGUUUAGUAGCUGAGAAUUUGCUCUAUUUUUCAAUGUAUUCAUCACCAUUUGCUGUGCAUUUUCACCAGCGAUGAACAGGAGCCCUUCAUGCUGCACUCAAAAACAUCUGUACCAGUAGAGGUGACCACUAUCGCCAUGGCUUAAAUGCACCACCCAUGCCUCCUUGUGCCAACAUCCACUGGUUGGUCUUCAUAAACUUCCAGCAAGCAUCAAUGAAUGUCACUAGGAAUGUCUAUUUUCCUCAUGGGGGGGGCCUUACCUUCAUUCUAUACCCACUUCCACAUCAGACACCACUCUGUCAGACUGCCCCUGUGCUGCCAUCUGUCACACAGCAACAAAAAGUAACAGGACAUUGGUGGGAAGGUUCAGCCCCUACUGCCACACCACCAACAGCCACCUCUGAUGUUGUGGGCCAACAUCAUAAAAAUAGGAAGCAUUACUUUCAGAGCAGCUCUCAAACCAUUAAAAAAAGACUUCAUAACUGUCUGCCUAAAGAGAGACUCCAGGUAGCUGUUAAAACUAAUAUUUGAACUGCUGUCACUGUUUAAAACUCUGUAAGUCAGUGGGGGGGGGGGGUCACUCAUCAUACGCUUAUCUUGUGAGACGUAAGCAAGCUACUACAAUGAUUAAAGGACCCAGAACACCCACACAAAGAUUGUUUUCUGUGAUCUUGAUGAGUAAUACCACACUUGCCAAAUUUCAAAGCAAGGAGCCCCACACAUCUGAGCUAAAGUUUACGUCUGCCUCGAUUAAGUUAUUACUGCAUUUUUUUUUUUUUAAGAGACUUAAUUUUAUAUUAAAAUAUAUACUUCACAUUCACUGAGCUACAAAUGAAACUGAUCUGUGGUGUCUGUGUCCUUUCACCUUUUCCUGGAAAGUAUGUUGACUAAAAGCCAAACAAACAGCACAGCACAUUGACUGCUUCAUAGACAAACACUGCAGUCAUUUUGUUCAGGACAAAUAUUUUUAAAGAAACAAAAUGAAAUUGCAAAUGUUUGAUUAAAAAAAAAAGAAAAAGAAAUGUCAACAUUUGUGCAUUCAUCUUAUUAGAAGUUUAUACUGUUUGUGAAAACAACGUUUUUAUGCACUAGUCCUAAAAUACCAAUCACAAAUAAGCUGUGAACAUUGCCUCACUAACUAAUUAUCUUUCCCUUUUCUUCUUAAUUGAAACUGAUCAAGUAGGAUCCAUGAAGUGUUAGGGAUUUCAGCUAGGAGUAAGGUGAUCAAACGAACUUAAUGGACUUAUCCACAAAAAUGACAAGAUUUACAGGCAUCUACAAAAUAGACAAGAUCUAAGCAACAUUCCAGAUAUGGGCAGAAUUGCUAUCUACUACGAAAUCAUUACCUCUCUUAAAUUCAACAUUCUUCUUAUCCAAUAGAAGGAAAAAAAAAUAUAUGUAUUUGCCAGGCUCUUGGGAUUGCUAUAGUUCCAAUUUUCAAGGCAAGCCUAACAAGUCAGAAGAGAAGUUUUCUUAAAUAUUGUCUCCUAGUGGUAAAGAGAAGAAAUACAGAGCUUUCACUUUUUGGAGAGUUUGACUUCACACCCCUGCAUUUAGUUGGCACUGGAACAACUCCUUGGAGGGUAUCUGAUUCCUUGAAUAAGAUCACAAUGACUUUUAACCAUGGAUUCAGUAACUGGAAAGAUACUUUUUUCCAGUUUUCAGCUUGUUCUGCUGCAUUACCUUCUUUUGCAAAUGGAUAAUGAGGUUCAAAUAGGAAAAAAAAAAAAACAAACAAACUAUACCAACUCUCUUGAAUGGUGCCAUAUCUACAUUUAAGUAGUGGCUCAGCUAGAAGGUAAGGAAGACCAAAGACAGUUUACAAAUAGUACUAGAUAACAGGAAACGAGUUCAUUUCAGAAUUUUUGGUGUCUGGGUGCCCAAAACAAAUAUUGAAAGGUAGGUGGAAUUAGAGAUGGCUAAAUAAAGACACUUUAAUCAAAAGCAAGACAUGGUCCAUUUUGAGAGAGAAGAAAUACUAAACCUAAAGAGGUCUUAGAGCACGAGAUGUGUCUGAAAACAGAAAAGCUGAAUCUUUACAAGAGCUCCAGAGUUCUGUUCAUAUUUACUUAUCAAACUAUUUAUAAAUACAACAAUGUAGCUUUGACCUCACAGUAUCUCCUAGAAACCAGCCAGUGAAAGAAGUAAUAGGAAAAGCAGGAAACUUCAUCCACUCUAUGACUUACCACCAAUUUACUCUUAUUAUGCUGUUAACACAGCAUUAGAAUUUGCAUGCAAAGAGAAAAAUGGGUUGUGGAAGAACCUGCAAGUUCUGCAAGUUCAUUAGAGACUUAAAGCUACAAAAAAUAUCCUUUUAGGACUUAAAAAGGAAAACAUCUUUUUCACAUCACUGCUAUUGUUCUUUAAAUGCUCUAAUGUUAAGUUGUUGUUGCCAGCAUUACAUUCCAAAAUAAACAUUUAUAUCAACUUGAACUGCUGAAACAUUAAAGGGUUUCAGUGAGCAAGAAAACACCGUUCAGCAAGAGUACUUAUUUUGAUCUACUUGAUCUCUCCCAAUAGCCAUUGCUGCAGCCAUAUCUUCCCACAAGAACUGCAAAUAUACCAGUUAAGGAAGUCGUCACUGAAGACCAUUAGAAGAUACUUCUUCAUUGCUAUUAUGGCUGCUCCUUGUGUUCUCCAAGCAGAUUAAUUUUCAUCAGCAAUGCUCUAACUCAUUUGGCUUCUAACUUUGGAGCCAACAUUUCUCAUUACCAUUUUAGGAAUCCAGCUACUACACAGUAAUGCUGUCUGGCUGACAGCUGCGUUGGAACAACUAUAUACUUCUCCUUUCACAACAGAGGAUAUUUCUAUGAGCAAUUUUUCUAGCUCCUGUAGGAAUGCUUUUGUCUUCCCUGAUCCCCAGAGACAAGGGGAGAAAGUUUUAGAUUAGCUCCCCUCCCCCUUUGCUAGCUUUAUAAAAAAAAUAACCUGUCAUUGGAAGCAGACAUCACUCAGCAUCAUCGGAACCAGGCCUGGAAAUCAUGAGUUUCCUUUACAUUUCUGGACAGAAAGUAUUUCAAAAUAGAAAAGUGCAUCUAUAUUAACUGUCAAUGGCCUGUUUUCCAUCAUGACACAAAAUCCAAAACAAACAAAAAAAAUCAGAACUAUUUUCUGGAGUUUGUCUAGAUUUUAUUUUCUUGAUUUGAGUUGGUCUGGAUGUCUCUUACCAUCAUGAAAAACAGAAGUGAAAAAUAUAAAGCUUAUGAAAACAGAAUUAACUUUAAGCUAUCAGUUUCAACAUCCAGCACUGACUAAACUCGGAUCUUACCUGUUGCAAUUUAGAAGGGAUACAGUAAGGAAGCUAUUGGUGUUAACAGAAGUAAAAGAGAAUUAAAAUAGGGUGGUUUUUUUUUUUUUUUUUUUUUUUACAACUGAGUUCUUAUCUGAAGUAGCUACACAUUUUUCAGAAAACACAGUCAGUUAAAUCAGUUUUAGAUACCAGCAUGCAAUACGCUACAUUAAAAUUAGACUGAUAUAAAAUUAAAGAAAAAAGGCAACAUAUUUAUACAUGAAGUACAUACAUUUAUUACACAUGCAUUCUGAGGAAUAUAUUUUGCUCAUCUAAUGAUCUUUGCAGAAAGUACCGAACAAAGCUUACUGGGAAAAAGAAAAAGAAAUAAUAGUUUAGAAUUUAAUUUUGAAGUCAGUCUUGUUACUAUCUCAUAGAAUUACAAACACUUAAUAUGAUGUGACUUAUAUCAGUACUUUCCAAACUCUUGUACUGCUACAGUUACUUCCUGAAGUACAAAACAGC